This 466-nucleotide ribosomal RNA is filed under the name uncultured bacterium. Its description in RNAcentral is "partial 16S ribosomal RNA". It matches the Rfam family "Bacterial small subunit ribosomal RNA", at positions 28 to 506 of the family's 1533-position model. The record is from RNAcentral.
GAUGAACGCUAGCGGCGUGCUUAACACAUGCAAGUCGAACGGAAAGGCCCAAGCUUGCUUGGGUACUCGAGUGGCGAACGGGUGAGUAACACGUGGGUGAUCUGCCCUGCACUUCGGGAUAAGCCUGGGAAACUGGGUCUAAUACCGGAUAGGACCACAUUUUGGAUGGUGUGGUGGAAAGUUUUUCGGUGUGGGAUGAGCUCGCGGCCUAUCAGCUUGUUGGUGGGGUAAUGGCCUACCAAGGCGUCGACGGGUAGCCGGCCUGAGAGGGUGUACGGCCACAUUGGGACUGAGAUACGGCCCAGACUCCUACGGGAGGCAGCAGUGGGGAAUAUUGCACAAUGGGCGCAAGCCUGAUGCAGCGACGCCGCGUGGGGGAUGACGGCCUUCGGGUUGGAAACUCCUUUCGCUAGGGACGAAGCGUUUUUGUGACGGUACCUGGAGAAGAAGCACCGGCUAACUACGU